UUUGGAGAAGUUUGAUCCUGGCUCAGGAUGAACGCUUGGAGAAGUUUGAUCCUGGCUCAAGGACGAACGCUGGCGGCGUGCUUAACACAUGCAAGUCGAACGAUGAAGCCGCUUCGGUGGUGGAUUAGUGGCGAACGGGUGAGUAACAAGUGGGUAAUGUGCCCUGCACUCUGGGAUAAGCCUUGGAAACGAGGUCUAAUUCCGGAUAUGACACACGGCCGCAUGGUCUGUGUGUGGAAAGUUCCGGCGGUGCAGGAUGAGCCCGCGGCCUAUCAGCUUGUUGGUGGGGUGAUGGCCUACCAAGGCGACGACGGGUAGGCGGCCUGAGAGGGUGACCGGCCACACUGGGACUGAGACACGGCCCAGACUCCUACGGGAGGCAGCAGUGGGGAAUCUUGCGCAAUGGGCGAAAGCCUGUCGCAGCGGCGCCGCGUGGGGGAUGACGGGUUACGGGUUGUAAACCGCGGCUACAGGGACGAAGGGUAUCGACGGUAGCUGUAGCAAGAAGCAUGGGCUAUCACU
RNAcentral lists this ribosomal RNA (522 nucleotides) under Saccharopolyspora sp. 1950BAB. Its description in RNAcentral is "bacterial SSU rRNA". It matches the Rfam family "Bacterial small subunit ribosomal RNA", at positions 1 to 504 of the family's 1533-position model. Lineage: Bacteria; Bacillati; Actinomycetota; Actinomycetes; Pseudonocardiales; Pseudonocardiaceae. The record is from RNAcentral.